UUGGACCAGUGCGAGAGGUGCGACGGCCCGGGGCCCAGACUAAAAGGGGGCCCAUAGUAUAUAUGCAGUAUAUAUAUUAUAUAUUACGGAUUAGUGAAAAAAAAGAAUGACUAACGUCCAGCCCAGGUAGCUCUGAGCCCACCCAGCAAGCAGCACGCAACCACCACUAGGGCCUGUCGUUCGCCUGGAAUCCAGGGAGACGCACUGACACAGGAGCACGGAGACGCAUCGACACAGCAGCACGCCGCCUGACGCCGACACCAGCGCACCGCACCAAACCUGGAGCUGAGUUUGGGGAUCAAAUCAGCAAGAAUUCGGGGAAGAGAUCAACUGAUCAAGAUCAUCAUUCAGAAGCAUAAUCAUGUUACCUAAAAAACAUCUAUCUGGCUGUGAGAAAAGAAACAACAAGAAAAGAGUAGACAAGUUGAUUAAAUCUCAGGAAGGCGCUAUGGAUAUGUUUGUCUUGAGGACCGGUGCUGCUACAAAUUCAGAGCAAUUAUAUAUCACAAAUGGUGAAGAAAAACCUGAUGAUACUAAGAAUGCCGUUGAGGAAAAUCAUGUCGAGAAAAAUAAUGCUGCGGAAAAUGAUGCCGAUCAGCACACGGAAAAUUUUAGUGACCAUGAGAAUCUUGGAAAUGCAGAUGAGCAGGGUUCUUCUUUUGAUAUAUAUGAUCCUAGAACUUGGAAUAUUCUUGACAAUAAAUCAAGAGAUAUUCUCAUUGAAAAAGGACCUAUAAGGGAAUACAAUCUUGUGUUUCCCGAAGAUGAAAUUAGUGGCAGGCAUUUUUCA
Aegilops tauschii subsp. strangulata is the source of this 790-nucleotide non-coding RNA. NCBI's taxonomy places the organism in Eukaryota, Viridiplantae, Streptophyta, Magnoliopsida, Poales, Poaceae. The record is from RefSeq and is a predicted model, not a curated record.